AGAGUUUGAUCAUGGCUCAGGACGAACGCUGGCGGCGUGCUUAACACAUGCAAGUCGAACGGAAAGGCCCUUCGGGGUACUCGAGUGGCGAACGGGUGAGUAACACGUGGUUGAUCUGCCCUGCACUCUGGGAUAAGCCUGGGAAACUGGGUCUAAUACCGGAUAGGACCGCAUGCUUCAUGGUGUGUGGUGGAAAGCUUUUGCGGUGUGGGAUGGGCCCGCGGCCUAUCAGCUUGUUGGUGGGGUAAUGGCCUACCAAGGCGACGACGGGUAGCCGGCCUGAGAGGGUGUCCGGCCACACUGGGACUGAGAUACGGCCCAGACUCCUACGGGAGGCAGCAGUGGGGAAUAUUGCACAAUGGGCGCAAGCCUGAUGCAGCGACGCCGCGUGGGGGAUGACGGCCUUCGGGUUGUAAACCUCUUUCAAUAGGGACGAAGCGCAAGUGACGGUACCUAUAGAAGAAGCACCGGCCAACUACGUGCCAGCAGCCGCGGUAAUACGUAGGGUGCGAGCGUUGUCCGGAAUUACUGGGCGUAAAGAGCUCGUAGGUGGUUUGUCGCGUUGUUCGUGAAAACUCACAGCUUAACUGUGGGCGUGCGGGCGAUACGGGCAGACUAGAGUACUGCAGGGGAGACUGGAAUUCCUGGUGUAGCGGUGGAAUGCGCAGAUAUCAGGAGGAACACCGGUGGCGAAGGCGGGUCUCUGGGCAGUAACUGACGCUGAGGAGCGAAAGCGUGGGGAGCGAACAGGAUUAGAUACCCUGGUAGUCCAA
RNAcentral lists this ribosomal RNA (773 nucleotides) under uncultured bacterium. RNAcentral's name for it is "bacterial SSU rRNA". It matches the Rfam family "Bacterial small subunit ribosomal RNA", at positions 8 to 798 of the family's 1533-position model. The record is from RNAcentral.